CGGGUGAGUAACGCGUGAGGAACCUGCCUCAAAGAGGGGGGAAACAGUUGGAAACGACUGCUAAUACCGCAUAAGCCCACGGCUCGGCAUCGAGCAGAGGGAAAAGGAGCAAUCCGCUUUGAGAUGGCCUCGCGUCCGAUUAGCUGGUUGGUGAGGUAACGGCCCACCAAGGCGACGAUCGGUAGCCGGACUGAGAGGUUGAACGGCCACAUUGGGACUGAGACACGGCCCAG
This 233-nucleotide ribosomal RNA is filed under the name uncultured bacterium. Its description in RNAcentral is "partial 16S ribosomal RNA". It matches the Rfam family "Bacterial small subunit ribosomal RNA", at positions 103 to 334 of the family's 1533-position model. The record is from RNAcentral.